UAGGGAAUCUUCCACAAUGGACGCAAGUCUGAUGGAGCAACGCCGCGUGAGUGAAGAAGGUUUUCGGACCGUAAAGCUCUGUUGUUGGUGAAGAAGGAUAGAGGUAGUAACUGGCCUUUAUUUGACGGUAAUCAACCAGAAAGUCACGGCUAACUACGUGCCAGCAGCCGCGGUAAUACGUAGGUGGCAAGCGUUGUCCGGAUUUAUUGGGCGUAAAGCGAGCGCAGGCGGAAGAAUAAGUCUGAUGUGAAAGCCCUCGGCUUAACCGAGGAAUUGCAUCGGAAACUGUUUUCUUGAGUGCAGAAGAGGAGAGUAGAACUCCAUGUGUAGCGGUGGAAUGCGUAGAUAUAUGGAAGAAUACCAGUGGCGAAGGCAGCUCUCUGGUCUGCAACUGACGCUGAGGCUCGAAAGCAUGGGUAGCGAACAGGAUUAGAUACC
RNAcentral lists this ribosomal RNA (438 nucleotides) under uncultured bacterium. Its description in RNAcentral is "partial 16S ribosomal RNA". It matches the Rfam family "Bacterial small subunit ribosomal RNA", at positions 355 to 786 of the family's 1533-position model. The record is from RNAcentral.